CGCCGCAACAGGUAACGAAGAAUCAUCAUCUACGGUUUCCCCGCUCGUUUCGUUCCUAGUGUUAUGCGAUGUAUUGUUGCUUGAUUCCGUCACGAGUAAUCCAACGACACUCGAGCCCCUAGAUGAGUCGAUCCCUCAGAUUUUUUUUCUCCGGGGCUCGAAUUUUCCAGAGGGGCGACAUCUGUGGAGAUCUUGAGUCGCUUCGCCUACUGUACACCGUGAGGCGCAGCGAAUAACAUUCUCCAAGAUUCCCGUUUCGUUUAUUCUUGCCUUAAUCUUGUUUCUUGCGCUCGAUCCGGUUGUUCUGUGAGCCCCGUGAUGGCACAAUCUUUGAGACCUGAGAUUUUCUUCCUUGAUGAAUAUCAAAAGCAUGAUUCCUGAGGGCCUCAUACGCGAUCGCAUAUUCUUACCCCUUUUUCUAUUUUAUUAUACCCUAGAUGUUUUGCCUAGUUCUGGAUUUGGAUGAUGAAAUGCACUGGGCUCCGAGCAGUGGAUUUCGCUGUGUUUUGACGGAGAUGCACUUGCCUAGAAAGCAUUGUCUGACAUACACCGUAUAGUUAUUAGUCAAACAAAUCGUUGCUCUGAUGACUAUUAUACAGAAGGCUGCAUUGUACCAAGAUUGGGGUUCAGUUACCCUCGUCUUGAAUUUGCCGACUCGGCUGUAGCCAAAUUAACGAGGAAGAAAAACUGGUCGGCUUGCCCUCUAUUCAAUGGGCUAUCCGCUUACCGACCUUCCUAUAAUCCCAUAUGGCACCAAUUUUGUCUUUUAUUUCACUCUAAACCGAGGUGAUCGUGGAGGGGAAUGGUUUAUGCUGUAUCCAUUCUUGUAGAACACCUCGAACAGCAAGUUCUUGCCGCUGUCUUUCUCUUCCUUGUGGUUUUUAGUGCUCCCUUCUCCUCUGGCGUUUUAAAUCACACGAGGAAGACGUGGCCGGUGGUUCAUCAUCCGGGCAGCCUGAUGCCACCGUCGCAGGCUGCGUCAUUGAUGUCUACAUUUUUUGUGCUAACUGAUGUCUUAUCGGUCAAACAUAAUUUAUGAAUCUUCAUAUUGUCUGCAAGCUCAUUUGUACAAACUUGGCCUCCUUAAUGAUAUCGUUGUGGUCAAUGAUUAAAUUAAAUUAUCAAAAAGAUUUGUUUAAAAAAAAAAAAAAAAAAAAA
This 1158-nucleotide long non-coding RNA is filed under the name Zea mays. Lineage: Eukaryota; Viridiplantae; Streptophyta; Magnoliopsida; Poales; Poaceae. The record is from RNAcentral.